This is a non-coding RNA of Schistosoma haematobium, 46 nucleotides long. NCBI's taxonomy places the organism in Eukaryota, Metazoa, Platyhelminthes, Trematoda, Strigeidida, Schistosomatidae. The record is from Rfam.
ACACUGCUGAGGAGUUCCACAAUGGAACGAAAUGGCCAUCCAGUGU